AGCUUGCUCUUAUGAAGUUAGCGGCGGACGGGUGAGUAACACGUGGGUAACCUGCCCAUAAGACUGGGAUAACUCCGGGAAACCGGGGCUAAUACCGGAUAACAUUUUGAACCGCAUGGUUCGAAAUUGAAAGGCGGCUUCGGCUGUCACUUAUGGAUGGACCCGCGUCGCAUUAGCUAGUUGGUGAGGUAACGGCUCACCAAGGCAACGAUGCGUAGCCGACCUGAGAGGGUGAUCGGCCACACUGGGACUGAGACACGGCCCAGACUCCUACGGGAGGCAGCAGUAGGGAAUCUUCCGCAAUGGACGAAAGUCUGACGGAGCAACGCCGCGUGAGUGAUGAAGGCUUUCGGGUCGUAAAACUCUGUUGUUAGGGAAGAACAAGUGCUAGUUGAAUAAGCUGGCACCUUGACGGUACCUAACCAGAAAGCCACGGCUAACUACGUGCCAGCAGCCGCGGUAAUACGUAGGUGGCAAGCGUUAUCCGGAAUUAUUGGGCGUAAAGCGCGCGCAGGUGGUUUCUUAAGUCUGAUGUGAAAG
Molecule: ribosomal RNA, 540 nt
Filed under: Bacillus cereus
Lineage: Bacteria; Bacillati; Bacillota; Bacilli; Caryophanales; Bacillaceae
Description: bacterial SSU rRNA
Rfam family: Bacterial small subunit ribosomal RNA
Source: RNAcentral